AUUGAACGCUGGCGGCAUGCCUUACACAUGCAAGUCGAACGGUAACAGGUCUUCGGAUGCUGACGAGUGGCGCACGGGUGAGUAAUACAUCGGAACGUGCCCGAUCGUGGGGGAUAACGAAGCGAAAGCUUUGCUAAUACCGCAUACGAUCUACGGAUGAAAGCAGGGGACCGCAAGGCCUUGCGCGAACGGAGCGGCCGAUGGCAGAUUAGGUAGUUGGUGGGAUAAAAGCUUACCAAGCCGACGAUCUGUAGCUGGUCUGAGAGGACGGCCAGCCACACUGGGACUGAGACACGGCCCAGACUCCUACGGGAGGCAGCAGUGGGGAAUUUUGGACAAUGGGCGAAAGCCUGAUCCAGUCAUGCCGCGUGCAGGAUGAAGGCCUUCGGGUUGUAAACUGCUUUUGUACGGAACGAAAAGACUCUGGUUAAUACCUGGGGUCCAUGACGGUACCGUAAGAAUAAGCACCGGCUAACUACGUG
RNAcentral lists this ribosomal RNA (482 nucleotides) under uncultured bacterium. Its description in RNAcentral is "partial 16S ribosomal RNA". It matches the Rfam family "Bacterial small subunit ribosomal RNA", at positions 30 to 507 of the family's 1533-position model. The record is from RNAcentral.